This 814-nucleotide ribosomal RNA is filed under the name uncultured bacterium. RNAcentral describes it as "bacterial SSU rRNA". It matches the Rfam family "Bacterial small subunit ribosomal RNA", at positions 8 to 814 of the family's 1533-position model. The record is from RNAcentral.
AGAGUUUGAUCCUGGCUCAGGAUGAACGCUGGCGGCGUGCUUAACACAUGCAAGUCGAGCGAGAAAAGUUCUUCGGAACUUUUCUAGCGGCGGACGGGUGAGUAACACGUGGGCAACCUGCCUCAUAGAGGGGAAUAGCCUUCCGAAAGGGAGAUUAAUACCGCAUAACAUUAUUGAAAGGCAUCUUUUAAUAAUCAAAGGAGCAAUCCGCUAUGAGAUGGGCCCGCGGCGCAUUAGCUAGUUGGUGAGGUAACGGCUCACCAAGGCGACGAUGCGUAGCCGACCUGAGAGGGUGAUCGGCCACAUUGGAACUGAGACACGGUCCAGACUCCUACGGGAGGCAGCAGUAGGGAAUCUUCGGCAAUGGGGGCAACCCUGACCGAGCAACGCCGCGUGAGUGAAGAAGGUUUUCGGAUCGUAAAGCUCUGUUGUAAGAGAAGAACGUGUGUGAGAGUGGAAAGUUCACACAGUGACGGUAACUUACCAGAAAGGGACGGCUAACUACGUGCCAGCAGCCGCGGUAAUACGUAGGUCCCGAGCGUUGUCCGGAUUUAUUGGGCGUAAAGCGAGCGCAGGCGGUUUAAUAAGUCUGAAGUUAAAGGCAGUGGCUUAACCAUUGUUCGCUUUGGAAACUGUUAAACUUGAGUGCAGAAGGGGAGAGUGGAAUUCCAUGUGUAGCGGUGAAAUGCGUAGAUAUAUGGAGGAACACCGGUGGCGAAAGCGGCUCUCUGGUCUGUAACUGACGCUGAGGCUCGAAAGCGUGGGGAGCAAACAGGAUUAGAUACCCUGGUAGUCCACGCCGUAAACGAUGAGU